AGCCCCGUGGUGUAGUGGUCAAGCAUCCAGCCCUUUGGAGGCUGGGACGGCAGUUCGAAUCUGCCCGGGGCUA
This 73-nucleotide transfer RNA is filed under the name Nitrospirae bacterium RIFCSPHIGHO2_02_FULL_40_19. RNAcentral describes it as "tRNA-Gln". It matches the Rfam family "tRNA". Rfam says of the family: Transfer RNA (tRNA) molecules are approximately 80 nucleotides in length. Their secondary structure includes four short double-helical elements and three loops (D, anti-codon, and T loops). The record is from RNAcentral. Lineage: Bacteria; Pseudomonadati; Nitrospirota.